CUAGGUUAUUAAACCUAGUUAAAUGCCUAGCAAAACAAGAAAGGAAAUGAAAUUGGGUCAAUUAUGAUUAAGUGACAAACAUGAGGGGUUAGUUUUGAAUGAGUGAAAAGAUAAAAUAUAAAAAAUAAAAUUAAAAACCCCACACCCACACCUGGGCGUAUGUGGGUGUUCGACCAGAGAAGAGAAAGAAGGGGGAAACCCCUUCUCAAACCCUAAUCGACCAACUUGGAUGGAUUUUGGCUGAAAUCGAACUUGCAUGAACAAGAUUCUUGAUUGUUCAACUCUGUAAAACACAUGGAAUCCCAAUGGACAUGGACUCAAGAAUAGAAGGCUAACGGAUCAAGGGUAAAUAAAGAAGCUAUGCACAACUCGGACGCACGAUGUAUAUGAACACCGGGUUCUUGAAGUAUCGAAGUCGAACUCUGAAUAAGAAAAUACGAAAGGAUAGUUAAAUAAAUCAAAGUUUCAUUGUUAAAUGUUAUUCACUAUUAGAUUAUAUGAGAAUCAUGUUGUAUAACGUUGUCAAUGACUAAUGGUUAAGUUGUAUGUGAUGUUCACAGGUAUUGCACGUAUCUCUACCACUACUAUCGAAGAUAAGCAUACAUUGAUCGAGCCCAAAAUUAAAGAUUGUACGGGAAGAACGGCCACAUAGUCUGAUUUAUGUAUUGUCUUGAAGCGUUACCUUAAUGUGGUUAUUGUUAACCCCUUUUUUGUAAAUGUUUACCAUUUGUAUUUGAGCUUUUAAAUAAGUAAUGGGUCUAAAUAAGAAAGAAAAUUUUUGGGCUC
RNAcentral lists this long non-coding RNA (786 nucleotides) under Helianthus annuus (common sunflower). The record is from RNAcentral. Lineage: Eukaryota; Viridiplantae; Streptophyta; Magnoliopsida; Asterales; Asteraceae.